GGGUUGUGAGGUUAAGCGACUAAGCGUACACGGUGGAUGCCUAGGCAGUCAGAGGCGAUGAAGGGCGUGCUAAUCUGCGAAAAGCGUCGGUAAGGUGAUAUGAACCGUUACAACCGACGAUACCCGAAUGGGGAAACCCAGUGCAAUUCGUUGCACUAUUGCAUGGUGAAUACAUAGCCAUGCAAGGCGAACCGGGGGAACUGAAACAUCUAAGUACCCCGAGGAAAAGAAAUCAACCGAGAUUCCCCUAGUAGCGGCGAGCGAACGGGGAGGAGCCCAGAGUCUGAAUCAGUUUGUGUGUUAGUGGAAGCGUCUGGAAAGUCGCACGGUACAGGGUGAUAGUCCCGUACACAAAAACACACUUGCUGUGAACUCGAUGAGUAGGGCGGGACACGUGACAUCCUGUCUGAAUAUGGGGGGACCAUCCUCCAAGGCUAAAUACUCCUGACUGACCGAUAGUGAACCAGUACCGUGAGGGAAAGGCGAAAAGAACCCCGGCGAGGGGAGUGAAAUAGAACCUGAAACCGUGUACGUACAAGCAGUGGGAGCACCUUCGUGGUGUGACUGCGUACCUUUUGUAUAAUGGGUCAGCGACUUAUAUUUUGUAGCAAGGUUAACCGAAUAGGGGAGCCGUAGGGAAACCGAGUCUUAACUGGGCGUCUAGUUGCAAGGUAUAGACCCGAAACCCGGUGAUCUAGCCAUGGGCAGGUUGAAGGUUGGGUAACACUAACUGGAGGACCGAACCGACUAAUGUUGAAAAAUUAGCGGAUGACUUGUGGCUGGGGGUGAAAGGCCAAUCAAACCGGGAGAUAGCUGGUUCUCCCCGAAAGCUAUUUAGGUAGCGCCUCGUGAACUCAUCUUCGGGGGUAGAGCACUGUUUCGGCUAGGGGGUCAUCCCGACUUACCAAACCGAUGCAAACUCCGAAUACCGAAGAAUGUUAUCACGGGAGACACACGGCGGGUGCUAACGUCCGUCGUGAAGAGGGAAACAACCCAGACCGCCAGCUAAGGUCCCAAAGUCAUGGUUAAGUGGGAAACGAUGUGGGAAGGCAUAGACAGCCAGGAUGUUGGCUUAGAAGCAGCCAUCAUUUAAAGAAAGCGUAAUAGCUCACUGGUCGAGUCGGCCUGCGCGGAAGAUGUAACGGGGCUAAACCAUGCACCGAAGCUGCGGCAGCGACACUUAGGUGUUGUUGGGUAGGGGAGCGUUCUGUAAGCCGUUGAAGGUGACCUGUGAGGGUUGCUGGAGGUAUCAGAAGUGCGAAUGCUGACAUAAGUAACGAUAAUGCGGGUGAAAAACCCGCACGCCGGAAGACCAAGGGUUCCUGUCCAACGUUAAUCGGGGCAGGGUGAGUCGACCCCUAAGGCGAGGCUGAAAAGCGUAGUCGAUGGGAAACAGGUUAAUAUUCCUGUACUUGGUGUUACUGCGAAGGGGGGACGGAGAAGGCUAGGCUAGCCGGGCGACGGUUGUCCCGGUUUAAGCAUGUAGGCGGAGUGACUUGGUAAAUCCGGUUGCUUAUCAACGCUGAGGUGUGAUGACGAGCCACUACGGUGGUGAAGUAGUUGAUGCCAAGCUUCCAGGAAAAGCCUCUAAGCAUCAGGUAACAUUAAAUCGUACCCCAAACCGACACAGGUGGUCAGGUAGAGAAUACUCAGGCGCUUGAGAGAACUCGGGUGAAGGAACUAGGCAAAAUGGUGCCGUAACUUCGGGAGAAGGCACGCUGGCAUUAGGUAAUGGGACUUGCUCCCGGCGCCGAAGCCAGUCGCAGAUACCAGCUGGCUGCAACUGUUUAAUAAAAACACAGCACUGUGCAAACACGAAAGUGGACGUAUACGGUGUGACGCCUGCCCGGUGCUGGAAGGUUAAUUGAUGGGGUCAGCCUUACGGCGAAGCUCUUGAUCGAAGCCCCAGUAAACGGCGGCCGUAACUAUAACGGUCCUAAGGUAGCGAAAUUCCUUGUCGGGUAAGUUCCGACCUGCACGAAUGGCGUAAUGAUGGCCAGGCUGUCUCCACCCGAGACUCAGUGAAAUUGAACUCGCUGUGAAGAUGCAGUGUACCCGCGGCAAGACGGAAAGACCCCGUGAACCUUUACUAUAGCUUGACACUGAACAUUGAGCCUUGAUGUGUAGGAUAGGUGGGAGGCAUUGAAGUGUGGACGCCAGUCUGCAUGGAGCCAACCUUGAAAUACCACCCUUUAAUGUUUGAUGUUCUAACUCGGCCCCGUGAUCCGGGGUGAGGACAGUGUCUGGUGGGUAGUUUGACUGGGGCGGUCUCCUCCCAAAGAGUAACGGAGGAGCACGAAGGUUAGCUAAUCACGGUCGGACAUCGUGAGGUUAGUGCAAAGGCAUAAGCUAGCUUGACUGCGAGAGUGACGGCUCGAGCAGGUACGAAAGUAGGUCUUAGUGAUCCGGUGGUUCUGAAUGGAAGGGCCAUCGCUCAACGGAUAAAAGGUACUCCGGGGAUAACAGGCUGAUACCGCCCAAGAGUUCAUAUCGACGGCGGUGUUUGGCACCUCGAUGUCGGCUCAUCACAUCCUGGGGCUGAAGUAGGUCCCAAGGGUAUGGCUGUUCGCCAUUUAAAGUGGUACGCGAGCUGGGUUUAGAACGUCGUGAGACAGUUCGGUCCCUAUCUGCCGUGGGCGUUGGAAGAUUGAGAGGGGCUGCUCCUAGUACGAGAGGACCGGAGUGGACGAAUCACUGGUGUUCGGGUUGUCAUGCCAAUGGCAUUGCCCGGUAGCUAAAUUCGGAAGAGAUAACCGCUGAAAGCAUCUAAGCGGGAAACUUGCCUCGAGAUGAGUCUUCCCUGGGGCUUUAAGCCCCCUGAAGGAACGUUAAAGACUAUGACGUUGAUAGGCUGGGUGUGUAAGUGCAGCGAUGCAUUGAGCUAACCAGUACUAAUGAUCCGUGAGGCUUAACCUUACAACACCAAAGGUGUUUUG
Molecule: ribosomal RNA, 2936 nt
Filed under: Yersinia kristensenii
Lineage: Bacteria; Pseudomonadati; Pseudomonadota; Gammaproteobacteria; Enterobacterales; Yersiniaceae
Description: 23S ribosomal RNA
Rfam family: Bacterial large subunit ribosomal RNA
Source: RNAcentral